CUUACCCAGUGACACACACAUGUACCCAGUAGCCAACAGGCUAGGAGUGAAACCUGAUUUCUGGUAUUUAUGCCAGAGGACCUUCCCCUUGUCCCAGAGAGCCCCACGUGAUGAAAGAAAAGGUCCCUCAUGAGUGGGCAUUUUAAGAAGUGACACAUGGAAAAUUCUGACCUUCUCCCUCUGUGCUGCCUUGGAACAGAGAGACAGUGGGUGCCCGAUGGAUACCUCAUCGGGGCCAGUCAGGAGGUCAGAACCCGCCCGGCUCCGGCCCAAAGAAUUAGGACCAGGCAGGUGGGAACAGAAUCGGCGGCUGGGACUACCUUAUCUACCUGAUGGAGGCCCAGUGGAACCAUUGGCUGCAUCACUAGGGGAGGGCACUGAGGACGAGGGAGGAGGCAACAGGCUUUGCCAAUUACUCCUGGACUAUUGUGCCCAGUUCUCACAUCGCGAUGUGUCCAGAGGAAAAGAGCAGGUAGGUAAGAAGUCAGCUCACCAAGUCAUGGGAGGCUCAGCUGAAAAAACUGGGGCUACAUAA
RNAcentral lists this long non-coding RNA (535 nucleotides) under Felis catus (domestic cat). Its description in RNAcentral is "lncRNA (ENSFCAG00000040560.2)". The record is from RNAcentral. Lineage: Eukaryota; Metazoa; Chordata; Mammalia; Carnivora; Felidae.